UGGGGAAUAUUGGACAAUGGGCGAAAGCCUGAUCCAGCCAUGCCGCGUGUGUGAAGAAGGCCUUUUGGUUGUAAAGCACUUUAAGUGGGGAGGAAAAGCUUGUGGUUAAUACCCAUAAGCCCUGACGUUACCCACAGAAUAAGCACCGGCUAACUCUGUGCCAGCAGCCGCGGUAAUACAGAGGGUGCAAGCGUUAAUCGGAAUUACUGGGCGUAAAGCAUGCGUAGGUGGUUAUUUAAGUCAGAUGUGAAAGCCCCGGGCUUAACCUGGGAACUGCAUCUGAUACUGGAUAACUAGAGUAGGUGAGAGGGGAGUAGAAUUCCAGGUGUAGCGGUGAAAUGCGUAGAGAUCUGGAGGAAUACCGAUGGCGAAGGCAGCUCCCUGGCAUCAUACUGACACUGAGGUGCGAAAGCGUGGGUAGCAAACAGGAUUAGAUACCCUGGUAGUCCACGUCGUAAACGAUGUCUACCAGUCGUUGGGUCUUUUAAAGACUUAGUGACGCAGUUAACGCAAUAAGUAGACCGCCUGGGGAGUACGGCCGCAAGGUUA
Molecule: ribosomal RNA, 549 nt
Filed under: uncultured bacterium
Lineage: Bacteria
Description: bacterial SSU rRNA
Rfam family: Bacterial small subunit ribosomal RNA
Source: RNAcentral